UACGAAGGGGGCUAGCGUUGUUCGGAUUUACUGGGCGUAAAGCGCACGUAGGCGGAUUGUUAAGUCGGGGGCGAAAUCCUGGAGCUCAACUCCAGAAUUGCCUUCGAUACUGGCUUUCUAGAGGCUGGAAGAGGUUAGUGGAAUUCCCAGUGUAGAGGUGAAAUUCGUAGAUAUUGGGAAGAACACCAGUGGCGAAGGCGGCUAACUGGUCCAGAUCUGACGCUGAGGUGCGAAAGCGUGGGGAGCAAACAGG
RNAcentral lists this ribosomal RNA (253 nucleotides) under uncultured bacterium. RNAcentral's name for it is "partial 16S ribosomal RNA". It matches the Rfam family "Bacterial small subunit ribosomal RNA", at positions 524 to 776 of the family's 1533-position model. The record is from RNAcentral.